This 375-nucleotide ribosomal RNA is filed under the name uncultured bacterium. RNAcentral describes it as "bacterial SSU rRNA". It matches the Rfam family "Bacterial small subunit ribosomal RNA", at positions 42 to 447 of the family's 1533-position model. The record is from RNAcentral.
UCAGGCCUAACACAUGCAAGUCGAACGCCCCGCAAGGGGAGUGGCAGACGGGUGAGUAACACGUGGGAACGUACCCUUCGGUUCGGAAUAACUCAGGGAAACUUGAGCUAAUACCGGAUACGUCCGAGAGGAGAAAGAUUUAUCGCCGAAGGAUCGGCCCGCGUCUGAUUAGCUUGUUGGUGAGGUAACGGCUCACCAAGGCGACGAUCAGUAGCUGGUCUGAGAGGAUGAUCAGCCACACUGGGACUGAGACACGGCCCAGACUCCUACGGGAGGCAGCAGUGGGGAAUAUUGGACAAUGGGGGCAACCCUGAUCCAGCCAUGCCGCGUGAGUGAUGAAGGCCUUAGGGUUGUAAAGCUCUUUUACCUGGGAAG